GACGAACGCUGGCGGCGUGCUUAACACAUGCAAGUCGAACGGAAAGGCCCUGCUUUUGUGGGGUGCUCGAGUGGCGAACGGGUGAGUAACACGUGAGUAUCCUGCCCUUGACUUUGGGAUAACUUCAGGAAACUGGGGCUAAUACCGGAUAGGAGCUGCUGCUGCAUGGUGGGGGUUGGAAAGUUUCGGCGGUUGUGGAUGGACUCGCGGCUGAUCAGCUUGUUGGUGGGGUAGUGGCUUACCAAGGCUUUGACGGGUAGCCGGCCUGAGAGGGUGACCGGCCACAUGGGGACUGAGAUACGGCCCAGACGCCUACGGGAGGCAGCAGUGGGGAAUAUUGCACAAUGGGCGCAAGCCUGAUGCAGCAACGCCGCGUGCGGGAUGACGGCCUUCGGGUUGUAAACCGCUUUCGCCUGUGACGAAGCGUGAGUGACGGUAAUGGGUAAAGAAGCACCGGCUAACUACGUG
Molecule: ribosomal RNA, 468 nt
Filed under: uncultured bacterium
Lineage: Bacteria
Description: partial 16S ribosomal RNA
Rfam family: Bacterial small subunit ribosomal RNA
Source: RNAcentral